Gallus gallus (chicken) is the source of this 2580-nucleotide long non-coding RNA. The record is from Ensembl. NCBI's taxonomy places the organism in Eukaryota, Metazoa, Chordata, Aves, Galliformes, Phasianidae.
UGUACUGAGUUCUCAGUACUGCCAGAAGCUUGAUGUCACUUCUGCCUCCAUGAGAUGGCUGAACAGUUAAAGAUAUUUCUGCACUUCUUUAGGUGACCAUGGAUUUCAUCAAUGAAUUAGCAUGACAGACCCAACAAAAGCUACCUCAAGUACAGCUGGUCUGUUUCAGAAGUGGACUAAAGUACUCUUUUUCGUUUUAUGUCAUUGAAGAUAAUUAACUCCCUGGGACUUUUUUUCUUAAAUAGAGCAGAUGAAACGAGGACAUGAGACCCUAUUUCUUCCUGACAAUGGAAAAACUCCUUUUGACAGUCUUGGAGCUAAACACUGAUGCUGCCAAUGUCUAAACUUAGCUGAGAUGUAUACCUCUCUCAUUCUGCCUAAAUUUGAGGUCUCUCUAAGUGUGCUUAGAUCUAACACACAUGAGAAAUACAAACCUCUUCCCAAUAUGAAAUGCUGGACAUUCUCUUUCCAGAUAACACUGUGAGUAGUGUGGCUAUCUGUGAAAAUGAAUAGAAGGCUUGAUUGGAUUCUCACCUUUUUUUCUGGAAGAUUUUCAAAUGUUGCUUAAUCUCUUCUCAGAAUAGAACUCUACUCACUAGUAAGCAGAAUAAACUUCCUCCACAACACAAAUUUCAGGACUUGUGAAGUCUGUACCCUUUAGGAAGUUUCAGGCAUGUAAGUAUUUUGUGAGAUAUUGAUAUAUCAGGAAUUUUCUGAAAAUCCUGCCUCAUGUCUUUUAAGGUUUUUAAGAAAUACAUUAAGCAAAGAAAAAAUACAACAACACACUGAACAAAAUAGAAGCUAAAAAAAAAAAUCAAAAUAAUUAGAAUAUCUUUAUGCAUCCUGAAAUGGCACUAGCAUAACUUGUUUUGCUCUACUGUUUACUUUUAAUAAUGCCUCAUUUGUUUAUUUUGGGUCUAAUUGGGAGGGGUUACAAUGUUUCCCUUAAUUAGCUAAUAACAUGCAUUCAUAACAGUCCGUGUGAUUAUAAUUUGACUUUAAUUGUCUGUAUAGUGCCCUGGAUCACUUGGCAAGAAGGAGAUUUACAAGCAUAACUCAUUAUAUUAUUGACAUGACUUCAUAAUUUUCCAUUUUCCUCUUAGAAAUACAAUAUUAAGAUAUUUUGAGCAAUGAACUGUGAGGACAAUGGGGAAGUGCAUCUAUUUAACUAGCUGCCCAGAAAGAGAGCAAUCCCCCUGAAACUUGCCCCCCCCCCUUUUAUUUUUACAGUCUACAGAGACUUCAGUGGAUGCUUAUCAGAGGUAGUAACAAUAUCUACCAAUGCAUAGUUGUCUUUUAAAAUCGCCUUAUGCUCUUCAAACAUAUACUGCACUGAUUACACAGAUGCCACUAUUUGUUGCUAAUUGGGAUUGUUUGAUUGUUUUUUUGCACUGCUGCUCUUCUCUGUUCUAUCCAGUUCUGUUCAGGUUAUAUCUGUUCUGCAUCUGCAGCCACUUUAACUAGUUUGAAUGAAUGUAAUAGCACAGAUAGCAUAUGAGCAUAGCUAAGUUGAAACUGUUUUCUGAGUUUUCUAUCUGUUUGCUGGGUUUCCUGGGUGAGUUUUGAAGUCGAAACUAAUUGCAUACAGUUCAAGUUAGGCUGAUAUUUAUGUUCAAGAUGGUUCAUUUUCAGGGAGUCUGCUUUGAGCUUAUCACUGUGACUCCAUUGCAGGCAGUGAAGUUCAGUUUGUAUCUUCAGGAAUAGAGAACUAUUAUGUUUAUUAUGAUUAUUAUGAUCUUUUUUGUUGUUGUAUUACUGUUUAUUAUGCUUUAUUAUUAUAUACCAUUAUUAUUUUCAUAGUGUAAUAUUAUGUAUUAAUAACUUGGAACUAAAAUUAAUACUUUCAAGCAGUAUAAGAAUGCAAUUAAUAAUGCAUCUUGUAAACCUCAAGGCUUAAUUAACGGAAGCUGGUGUAAGUGGACAUAGUUAUUACUUUUUUCUUUGUACUGUACCUAAAACAAGUUGGUUUUUCUAAACUAAUUUUAGACCUCCCAUAAAUGCAGUAGAAAACUAGGACACUACAAUAGGCAGUCAAGUUUGUGAUUCAGGUGAGUUUUGCUUUGCAAUUCUACAUUUAUUUAAACCCAGUCUUUGGUACUGAAACAGAGAAAUACUGAAUAUAGACACCUUCAGACAAGAGGUAUAUUGAGAAAGGACUUAUUUACAAAAUUCUAGGACAUCCUACAGUCAGUAGACACAAUAUGCACAUUAAUGUUUUCUAUGUUGAAUAUUAAAUUUUAAACUUGACUUCUAAAAUGCAUCACAUUAAAGGAGCUCCUUUUUCUCUAGACCAGCAUAAACCAGUGUUUGAAAAUGAAAUUUUUCUGAUACAUAGGAUGAGUCUUAGCCCCCCCCAAAAAGCUUUUCUAAAGCAGAAUCCUGUUUGCAAUAGUAAUGUUAGAUAAGAGCAAUCAAAAAGGACAAGUACCCACUAAAUGUUCUACAAGUAUCCUUCCAGCCUUAUGUUCUUGCAUAGAAAACACCUCUGACUUUUCAUUUAGCAAUUUUAAAGGUAAUUCUCUUCCAUGAACUAUUUCCAGCUCACAUAAACAUUUAUGUUCUACAGAAACCUCAGUUCAC